Molecule: long non-coding RNA, 1132 nt
Organism: Lytechinus variegatus (green sea urchin)
Lineage: Eukaryota; Metazoa; Echinodermata; Echinoidea; Temnopleuroida; Toxopneustidae
Exons: 2
Source: RefSeq, a predicted model, not a curated record
UAUAUAUGAUGUCUGAAGAUGAGAUUAUAAAAUUUAUAACAACGAUUGUCUUCCUUUUUGGCAGAAGCCUUUUUUCUUGGUUUAGAUAAAUAUUCCAUGAAAAUAGAGGAAAGGUACAAAUAUUGGAGGUCAAGUUCGUAUUCUACCAAAAUGAUUUGUUUCUUGAUUAUGAAUACUUAUUGAUUUCUUGAAGUAGUCAAAUUGUGUGAACUUGAUGUUUUUAUCUAUAUACAAAAAAAGGUGAAAGGCAGAAAAGUAGUAAAUUGAUGUUUUUGUUUUAGAUUGAAAGCCUUUCGAGUACGACACUUUCGAAUUGGAUUUACGCUUGUAAAUUAUUGUCAAAAUUCAAGUAUGACAUUUUGCGAUAUCAAUGUUUCAUUAUCAUGUUUUGAAAGAUGUAGUUUGAGUUUCUCAUCAUUUGUAUAUAGUACUUAGUGUAUCAUCUUAUGGUUGAUGGUAUAAUUUUACAGCCAGGGAAUGUGAUUUAGUGAAAAUUUUCUAGGAAACGUUCAUGUAUACUUAGUCUAUAUAGUAGCGUAAAUUUAUCUUUUAGAAGUAUACAUGUAUGUAGUCAAGAAAGUACUUAAAUUUAGAUUUAUUCAUUGCAGAUGUUUUCUUGAGGUAAAUUAAUGCUUAAUUUAAAGGAGCCAUGUGAUGAAAGUACAUCUGAAUUGAUAAAUUAGCGCACCAAAAUUAGCGCAGAAGUGAUUUAGCACUUUUUGUAUAUAUACUUUCACUAUUGCACUACCUGAUUAACAUAUUUGUAUCUAGCACUCCCUUAGUCAAUGUGUACACUUACAUAGCACCAUGACAGUGCAUUUGAUUUUUGGACAUUGGGUUGUGUGAGGGACCAGGAUUUUGCCCUUCAAAAUCACAAACAUCCUGGCUCAGAAGACAUUCAAUUUACUUGAGAAAGCAAGCAAAGAGUUUUCACGGAUUAAAGAUAUCAAUCAGAUUAAAGGAACGAAUUGGUUUGAAAGAAGGAUUAAAAGUACCAAUUGGAUUCAAUAGAUUAAUACGACCAACAUGAUUUGAUUGUACGGAUUUGAUAUCAGAUUAAUCGAUUAAACAACGAAAUCCUGUAGAGGCCUUUGUUCGCUUGUCUUUUGUUGUCGACCUCACUACAGCCACA